This 592-nucleotide long non-coding RNA is filed under the name Vigna radiata. RNAcentral's name for it is "long non-coding RNA (VRAD_LNC003708)". Lineage: Eukaryota; Viridiplantae; Streptophyta; Magnoliopsida; Fabales; Fabaceae. The record is from RNAcentral.
AUUGACAUUUAUAUAUCAUUUACUUGUUUUUUUUGUUAAUGUUAAUAUAAAGCAAUAAUUUAAUGUAAAAUAACAAAUUAUUUUUCAUCUUUUGAAAAAAUGUUAAAUAAAAUUUUCUCAUUAUUUUGAAAUCACGACUUACUAUUAAAAUAUUAUCUUUGUCACACCCCAUUUAAAUACCCUCCUUAGUGGGGUACAUGUGUCGCCGUCCGGUUCUCCCNUGGUGAGUGGGAGACAAACUCUGCCAACCUUUUAAUUCCCUUCCCUCGUGAUCCGUGCAGCAGCAGCAGAGCAGUGAACCCCAGCAAGUGGAAGUCAGGUGUCACGCUGGGAGUUGGCCAACCGUUCGGAUUGGAGGCAGUAUUUAAGGUAAGAAUGAAGACCUGACGCCACUUUUGCAUGCAAUCUUCUUCUUCUUCCUCAAACUCAACCUUCUGAAAAUCUCAGAUUCUCCUCCUUCUCUCUAAACCUCCCUACCCUCUCUCUCUAAAAUUCUAACCCAUUUACUGUUCCGAUCACCCUUCAGAUCACACCUGAAGACUCCUGGUGGUCUCCUCUCUCUCUUGAACCGUCCGGUUUUGAGUUUUGCACC